AACAUUUUUAUACGCUGAAUGCUGAUUUUUACUAUAUAUGUUAUCAUCUUUUCAUACUGUUCAGAUUGUUAGUUUCUAUUGUAUGCAUUUUUGUUUGACUACUGGGAUGAUCACUGUCCCAAUUAUAAACUGUCAUCAAUAGGGAAGUUAAAUUUUAGUCUUGCACUCGGGGUUUUAAAUAAUGGGUAAUGCAUAGUGUUUUGGUUGUUUUGGUGUGUGUGUGUGUGUGUGUG
RNAcentral lists this unclassified non-coding RNA (233 nucleotides) under Hevea brasiliensis (rubber tree). The record is from RNAcentral. Lineage: Eukaryota; Viridiplantae; Streptophyta; Magnoliopsida; Malpighiales; Euphorbiaceae.